This 72-nucleotide transfer RNA is filed under the name Candidatus Moranbacteria bacterium RIFOXYC1_FULL_44_8. Its description in RNAcentral is "tRNA-Arg". It matches the Rfam family "tRNA". Rfam says of the family: Transfer RNA (tRNA) molecules are approximately 80 nucleotides in length. RNAcentral also lists the same sequence under 2 other names. The record is from RNAcentral. Lineage: Bacteria; Candidatus Moraniibacteriota.
GCCUCCGUAGGCUAACGGAUAGACCAUCGGUCUUCGAAACCGAUUGUAGAGGUUCGAUUCCUCUCGGAGGCA